RNAcentral lists this ribosomal RNA (259 nucleotides) under uncultured bacterium. RNAcentral's name for it is "partial 16S ribosomal RNA". It matches the Rfam family "Bacterial small subunit ribosomal RNA", at positions 28 to 298 of the family's 1533-position model. The record is from RNAcentral.
GAUGAACGCUGGCGGCGUGCUUAACACAUGCAAGUCGAACGGACAUCUCACUUUUCGGAGAGGGAUGUUAGUGGCAAACGGGUGCGUAACACGUAGGAAUCUGCCCUGAAGGUGGGGACAACGGCUGGAACGGUCGCUAAACCCGCAUAGUCUCGCGCAAGCGAGUAAAGCUUUAUGCGCUUUAGGAGGAGCCUGCGGCCUAUCAGGUAGUUGGUGGGGUAAAAGCCUACCAAGCCGACGACGGGUAGGGGCGUGAGAG